RNAcentral lists this ribosomal RNA (539 nucleotides) under uncultured Methanomicrobiales archaeon. RNAcentral describes it as "bacterial SSU rRNA". It matches the Rfam family "Archaeal small subunit ribosomal RNA", at positions 202 to 745 of the family's 1478-position model. The record is from RNAcentral. Lineage: Archaea; Methanobacteriati; Methanobacteriota; Methanomicrobia; Methanomicrobiales.
CUUUAGGAUGAGUCUGCGGCCGAUUAGGUAGUUGUUGGGGUAACCGGCCCAACAAGCCUGUCAUCGGUACGGGUUGUGGGAGCAAGAGCCCGGAGAUGGAUUCUGAGACACGAAUCCAGGCCCUACGGGGCGCAGCAGGCGCGAAAACUUUACCAUGCGGGCAACCGUGAUAAGGAAACCUUGAGUGCCAGCACAGGCUGGCUGUCCGCCAGUGUAAAUAACUGGUGAAGAAAGGGCCGGGCAAGACCGGUGCCACGCCGCCGCGGUAAUACCGGCGGCUCGAGUGGUGGCCGAUAUUACCUGGGCUUAAAGGGUCCGUCGCUGGAUGUACAAGUCCCUUGAGAAAUCCGCCGGCUUAACUGGCCGGGCGUUCAGGAGAAACUGUAUUUCUAGGGCCCGGGAGAGGUGACAGGUACUGACGAGGUAGGAGUGAAUCCUGUAAUCGCCGGUGGGACCACCUAUGUCGAAGGCAUCUCACCAGAACGGUCCGACAGUGAGGGACGAAAGCUGGGGGACAAACCGGAUAGAUACCCGGUAGU